RNAcentral lists this unclassified non-coding RNA (377 nucleotides) under uncultured Oligoflexales bacterium. RNAcentral describes it as "contains 16S-23S intergenic spacer region". Lineage: Bacteria; Pseudomonadati; Bdellovibrionota; Oligoflexia; Oligoflexales. The record is from RNAcentral.
UCCGUGUUCACCACGGCAGUCUCCUUAGAGAGCCCAACUGAAUGCUGGCAACUAAGGACAAGGGUUGCGCUCGUUGCGGGACUUAACCCAACAUGUCACCACACGAGCUGACGACAGCCAUGCAGCACCUGUCAUCCUGCUGUAUUGCUACAGAAACCGUAUCUCUACGGCUGUCAGGAGAUGUCAAACCCAGGUAAGGUUCUUCGCGUUGCUUCGAAUUAAACCACAUGAUCCACCGCUUGUGCGGGCCCCCGUCAAUUCCUUUGAGUUUUAAUCUUGCGACCGUACUCCCCAGGCGGAGAGCUUAACACUUUCGCUACGACCGAAAAGCUGUGCAGCCCUCCGGUCCAGUGCUCACCGUUUACGGCUAGGACUAC